AUUGAACGCUGGCGGCAGGCCUAACACAUGCAAGUCGAGCGAGCGGCGGACGGGUGAGUAAUGUAUGGGGACUGCCCGAUAGCGGGGGAUAACUACUGGAAACGGUGUCUAAUACCGCAUACUAUCGGUUAACCCUUAUGGGAUUGUCGAGUGGGUGGGGUAAAGGCUCACCUAGGCGACGAUCUCUAGCUGGUCGGAGAGGAGGAUCAGCCACACUGGGACUGAGAACCGGCCCAGACUCCUACGGAGGAAGCAGUGGGGAAUAUUGCACAAUGGGCGCAAGCCUGAUGCAGCCAGGCCGCGUGUAUGAAGAAGGCCUUAGGGUUGUAAAGUACUUUCAGCGGGGAGGCGUUACCCGCAGAAGAAGCACCGGCUAACUCCGUGCCAGCAGCCGCGGUAAUUC
RNAcentral lists this ribosomal RNA (403 nucleotides) under uncultured bacterium. RNAcentral's name for it is "partial 16S ribosomal RNA". It matches the Rfam family "Bacterial small subunit ribosomal RNA", at positions 30 to 526 of the family's 1533-position model. The record is from RNAcentral.